Molecule: ribosomal RNA, 253 nt
Filed under: uncultured bacterium
Lineage: Bacteria
Description: partial 16S ribosomal RNA
Rfam family: Bacterial small subunit ribosomal RNA
Source: RNAcentral
UACGUAGGGUGCAAGCGUUGUCCGGAAUUAUUGGGCGUAAAGAGCUCGUAGGCGGUUUGUUGCGUCGGCUGUGAAAACCUGAGGCUCAACCUCAGGCCUGCAGUCGAUACGAGCAGACUAGAGUGUUGCAGGGGAGACUGGAAUUCCUGGUGUAGCGGUGAAAUGCGCAGAUAUCAGGAGGAACACCGGUGGCGAAGGCGGGUCUCUGGGCAACAACUGACGCUGAGGCACGAAAGCGUGGGUAGCAAACAGG